CAGAAAAUAGUUUAUAAAAAAUAUUAAUUUUGGAGAUUACUGAUAAGAGAGUUUCUUUUUUCUGA
This 65-nucleotide transfer RNA is filed under the name Euplectus karstenii. RNAcentral describes it as "tRNA-Pro". The record is from RNAcentral. Lineage: Eukaryota; Metazoa; Arthropoda; Insecta; Coleoptera; Staphylinidae.